UACGUAGGGGGCAAGCGUUGUCCGGAUUUAUUGGGCGUAAAAGGCUUGUAGGUGGCCACGCCAAGUCGGAUGUGAAAUCUCCCGGCUCAACUGGGAGGGGUCAUUCGAUACUGGUGGGCUCGAGGCCGGUAGGGGGAAGCGGAAUUCCCGGUGUAGUGGUGGAAUGCGCAGAUAUCAGGAGGAACACCGGUGGCGAAGGCGGGUCUCUGGGCCGUAACUGACGCUGAGGAGCGAAAGCGUGGGGAGCGAACAGG
RNAcentral lists this ribosomal RNA (254 nucleotides) under uncultured bacterium. RNAcentral's name for it is "partial 16S ribosomal RNA". It matches the Rfam family "Bacterial small subunit ribosomal RNA", at positions 524 to 776 of the family's 1533-position model. The record is from RNAcentral.